This 468-nucleotide ribosomal RNA is filed under the name uncultured bacterium. RNAcentral describes it as "partial 16S ribosomal RNA". It matches the Rfam family "Bacterial small subunit ribosomal RNA", at positions 28 to 507 of the family's 1533-position model. The record is from RNAcentral.
GACGAACGCUGGCGGCGUGCUUAACACAUGCAAGUCGAACGGAAAGGCCCUGCUUUUGUGGGGUGCUCGAGUGGCGAACGGGUGAGUAACACGUGAGUAACCUGCCCUUGACUUUGGGAUAACUUCAGGAAACUGGGGCUAAUACCGGAUAGGAGCUCCUGCUGCAUGGUGGGGGUUGGAAAGUUUCGGCGGUUGGGGAUGGACUCGCGGCUUAUCAGCUUGUUGGUGGGGUAGUGGCUUACCAAGGCUUUGACGGGUAGCCGGCCUGAGAGGGUGACCGGCGACAUUGGGACUGAGAUACGGCCCAGACUCCUACGGGAGGCAGCAGUGGGAAAUAUUGCACAAUGGGCGGAAGCCUGAUGCAGCAACGCCGCGUGCGGGAUGACGGCCUUCGGGUUGUAAACCGCUUUCGCCUGUGACGAAGCGUGAGUGACGGUAAUGGGUAAAGAAGCACCGGCUAACUACGUG